RNAcentral lists this transfer RNA (69 nucleotides) under Trachinops taeniatus (eastern hulafish). RNAcentral's name for it is "tRNA-Tyr". It matches the Rfam family "tRNA". From Rfam's summary of the family: Transfer RNA (tRNA) molecules are approximately 80 nucleotides in length. Their secondary structure includes four short double-helical elements and three loops (D, anti-codon, and T loops). Further hydrogen bonds mediate the characteristic L-shaped molecular structure. tRNAs have two regions of fundamental functional importance: the anti-codon, which is responsible for specific mRNA codon recognition, and the 3' end, to which the tRNAs corresponding amino acid is attached (by aminoacyl-tRNA synthetases). tRNAs cope with the degeneracy of the genetic code in two manners: having more than one tRNA (with a specific anti-codon) for a particular amino acid; and 'wobble' base-pairing, i.e. permitting non-standard base-pairing at the 3rd anti-codon position. Lineage: Eukaryota; Metazoa; Chordata; Actinopteri; Plesiopidae. The record is from RNAcentral.
GGUAGGAUGGCUGAGCUUAGGCGGCGGGCUGUAACCCCGCAUACAGAGGUUAGAGCCCUCUUCCUAUCA